Molecule: ribosomal RNA, 485 nt
Filed under: uncultured bacterium
Lineage: Bacteria
Description: partial 16S ribosomal RNA
Rfam family: Bacterial small subunit ribosomal RNA
Source: RNAcentral
UUGCACGCUGGCGGCAUGCCUUACACCUGCCAGUCGCACGGCAGCACGGGUGCUUGCACCUGGUGGCGAGUGGCGAACGGGUGAGUAAUACAUCGGAACAUGUCCUGUAGUGGGGGAUAGCCCGGCGAAAGCCGGAUUAAUACCGCAUACGAUCUACGGAUGAAAGCGGGGGACCUUCGGGCCUCGCGCUAUAGGGUUGGCCGAUGGCUGAUUAGCUAGUUGGUGGGGUAAAGGCCUACCAAGGCGACGAUCAGUAGCUGGUCUGAGAGGACGACCAGCCACACUGGGACUGAGACACGGCCCAGACUCCUACGGGAGGCAGCAGUGGGGAAUUUUGGACAAUGGGCGAAAGCCUGGUCCAGCAAUGCCGCGUGUGUGAAGAAGGCCUUCGGGUUGUAAAGCACUUUUGUCCGGAAAGAAAUCCUUGGCCCUAAUACGGUCGGGGGAUGACGGUACCGGAAGAAUAAGCACCGGCUAACUACGUG